Molecule: long non-coding RNA, 233 nt
Filed under: Eutrema salsugineum
Lineage: Eukaryota; Viridiplantae; Streptophyta; Magnoliopsida; Brassicales; Brassicaceae
Description: long non-coding RNA (ESAL_LNC001240)
Source: RNAcentral
AAACCCUAGCCACAUUAUCCUCUUCUCUUCUCUUUCUCUCAGCCACGCCAUCCUCCUUCUCUCUUCCUCACCGUGGCUCUCUCCCUCUAUCUCUCUCUCUUUCUCUUCCUCUCUCCCUUGGCCGCUGCUCUCUCCUCCUCCAUCAGCUCCUCUUUCUUCUCUCUUAAACCCUAGCCGCCGCCGUCUCCUUCCAUGACGUUUUCCCGACGAACCGUGUGGAUCCACGAGACGAG